Molecule: non-coding RNA, 46 nt
Filed under: Schistosoma margrebowiei
Lineage: Eukaryota; Metazoa; Platyhelminthes; Trematoda; Strigeidida; Schistosomatidae
Source: RNAcentral
AUCCAGCUGACGAGUCUCAAAUAGGAGAGAAACGCGCGUCUUGGUU